RNAcentral lists this ribosomal RNA (639 nucleotides) under uncultured bacterium. Its description in RNAcentral is "bacterial SSU rRNA". It matches the Rfam family "Bacterial small subunit ribosomal RNA", at positions 232 to 881 of the family's 1533-position model. The record is from RNAcentral.
CGCGGCCUAUCAGCUUGUUGGUGAGGUAAUGGCUCACCAAGGCGACGACGGGUAGCCGGCCUGAGAGGGCGACCGGCCACACUGGGACUGAGACACGGCCCAGACUCCUACGGGAGGCAGCAGUGGGGAAUAUUGCACAAUGGGCGAAAGCCUGAUGCAGCGACGCCGCGUGAGGGAUGACGGCCUUCGGGUUGUAAACCUCUUUCAGCAGGGAAGAAGCGAAAGUGACGGUACCUGCAGAAGAAGCGCCGGCUAACUACGUGCCAGCAGCCGCGGUAAUACGUAGGGCGCAAGCGUUGUCCGGAAUUAUUGGGCGUAAAGAGCUCGUAGGCGGCUUGUCACGUCGGGUGUGAAAGCCCGGGGCUUAACCCCGGGUCUGCAUUCGAUACGGGCAGGCUAGAGUGUGGUAGGGGAGAUCGGAAUUCCUGGUGUAGCGGUGAAAUGCGCAGAUAUCAGGAGGAACACCGGUGGCGAAGGCGGAUCUCUGGGCCAUUACUGACGCUGAGGAGCGAAAGCGUGGGGAGCGAACAGGAUUAGAUACCCUGGUAGUCCACGCCGUAAACGGUGGGAACUAGGUGUUGGCGACAUUCCACGUCGUCGGUGCCGCAGCUAACGCAUUAAGUUCCCCGCCUGGGGAGU